This 596-nucleotide ribosomal RNA is filed under the name Bacillus pumilus. RNAcentral's name for it is "bacterial SSU rRNA". It matches the Rfam family "Bacterial small subunit ribosomal RNA", at positions 801 to 1395 of the family's 1533-position model. The record is from RNAcentral. Lineage: Bacteria; Bacillati; Bacillota; Bacilli; Caryophanales; Bacillaceae.
GUAAAACGAUGAGUGCUAAGUNUUAGGGGGUUUCCGCCCCUUAGUGNUGCAGCUAACGCAUUAAGCACUCCGCCUNGGGGAGUACGGNUCGCAAGACUGAAACUCAAAGGAAUUGACGGGGGCCCGCACAAGCGGUGGAGCAUGUGGUUUAAUUNGAAGCAACGCGAAGAACCUUACCAGGUCUUGACAUCCUCUGACAACCCUAGAGAUAGGGCUUUCCCUUCGGGGACAGAGUGACAGGUGGUGCAUGGUUGUCGUCAGCUCGUGUCGUGAGAUGUUGGGUUAAGUCCCGCAACGAGCGCAACCCUUGAUCUUAGUUGCCAGCAUUCAGUUGGGCACUCUAAGGUGACUGCCGGUGACAAACCGGAGGAAGGUGGGGAUGACGUCAAAUCAUCAUGCCCCUUAUGACCUGGGCUACACACGUGCUACAAUGGACAGAACAAAGGGCUGCAAGACCGCAAGGUUUAGCCAAUCCCAUAAAUCUGUUCUCAGUUCGGAUCGCAGUCUGCAACUCGACUGCGUGAAGCUGGAAUCGCUAGUAAUCGCGGAUCAGCAUGCCGCGGUGAAUACGUUCCCGGGCCUUGUACACACCGCCC